This 966-nucleotide ribosomal RNA is filed under the name Darkera picea. Its description in RNAcentral is "SSU rRNA". It matches the Rfam family "Eukaryotic small subunit ribosomal RNA", at positions 97 to 1071 of the family's 1831-position model. Lineage: Eukaryota; Fungi; Ascomycota; Leotiomycetes; Phacidiales; Phacidiaceae. The record is from RNAcentral.
CUCAUUAAAUCAGUUAUCGUUUAUUUGAUAGUACCUUACUACUUGGAUAACCGUGGUAAUUCUAGAGCUAAUACAUGCUAAAAACCUCGACUUCGGAAGGGGUGUAUUUAUUAGAUAAAAAACCAAUGCCCUUCGGGGCUCCUUGGUGAUUCAUAAUAACUUAACGAAUCGCAUGGCCUUGUGCCGGCGAUGGUUCAUUCAAAUUUCUGCCCUAUCAACUUUCGAUGGUAGGAUAGUGGCCUACCAUGGUUUCAACGGGUAACGGGGAAUUAGGGUUCUAUUCCGGAGAGGGAGCCUGAGAAACGGCUACCACAUCCAAGGAAGGCAGCAGGCGCGCAAAUUACCCAAUCCCGACACGGGGAGGUAGUGACAAUAAAUACUGAUACAGGGCUCUUUUGGGUCUUGUAAUUGGAAUGAGUACAAUUUAAAUCCCUUAACGAGGAACAAUUGGAGGGCAAGUCUGGUGCCAGCAGCCGCGGUAAUUCCAGCUCCAAUAGCGUAUAUUAAAGUUGUUGCAGUUAAAAAGCUCGUAGUUGAACCUUGGGCCUGGCUGGCCGGUCCGCCUCACCGCGUGCACUGGUCCGGCCGGGUCUUUCCUUCUGGGGAGCCGCAUGCCCUUCACUGGGUGUGUCGGGGAACCAGGACUUUUACUUUGAAAAAAUUAGAGUGUUCAAAGCAGGCCUAUGCUCGAAUACAUUAGCAUGGAAUAAUAGAAUAGGACGUGUGGUUCUAUUUUGUUGGUUUCUAGGACCGCCGUAAUGAUUAAUAGGGAUAGUCGGGGGCAUCAGUAUUCAAUUGUCAGAGGUGAAAUUCUUGGAUUUAUUGAAGACUAACUACUGCGAAAGCAUUUGCCAAGGAUGUUUUCAUUAAUCAGUGAACGAAAGUUAGGGGAUCGAAGACGAUCAGAUACCGUCGUAGUCUUAACCAUAAACUAUGCCGACUAGGGAUCGGGCGAUGUUAUCUUUU